RNAcentral lists this ribosomal RNA (406 nucleotides) under uncultured bacterium. RNAcentral's name for it is "partial 16S ribosomal RNA". It matches the Rfam family "Bacterial small subunit ribosomal RNA", at positions 30 to 526 of the family's 1533-position model. The record is from RNAcentral.
AUUGAACGCUGGCGGCAGGCCUAACACAUGCAAGUCGAACGAGCGGAGGACGGGUGAGGAAUGUAUGGGGAUACGUCCGUAAGAGAGGGAUAACAACGGGAAACGCUAGCUAAUAUCGCACAAUAUCUGCUGUACGCAGAUGGGAUUAGCUAGUAGGUGGGGUAAUGGCUCACCUAGGCGAAGAUCCCUAGCUGUGCUGAGAGGAUGAUCAGCCACACUGGGACUGAGACACGGCCCAGACUCCUACGGGAGGCAGCAGUGGGGAAUAUUGGACAAUGGGCGAAAGCCUGAUGCAGCCAUGCCGCGUGUAUGAAGAAGGCCCUCGGGUUGUAAAGUACUUUCAGUCGGGAGGCGUUACCGACAGAAGAAGCACCGGCUAACUCCGUGCCAGCAGCCGCGGUAAUUC